AUGUGGGCUCCACCGAAGUGCAAAUUUUUUGCUUGGUUGAUCUUCCAAAAUCGUGUUUGGACAGCCGAUCGUUUACUCCGGCGAGGCUGGCCAAGCUGCAAUGUGUGCCCUCUCUGCAAGCAAGUGCAAGAAUCUGCUGCUCACCUCCUAUUUCAAUGUAGGUUCACUGUCCGGAUUUGGACCGAAAUUUUCACUUGGCUUGGCAUCCUUGACUCCUCACCAAUGAUUUGGUGUCAUGAAGACUCAGUUAGAGAUUGGUGGCUCAAGGCGGUUAAUGGUGGAGGUGGCUGCAGGAAGGCCAUCGCCUCCUUGAUGAUGCUUGUCUCGUGGGAAAUUUGGAAGGAGCGCAACGCAAGAAUUUUUCAAAAUGUCUCUCCCCCGACCUCCAUUGUUAUCGCAAAAAUCAAAGAGGAGGCCCAUCUCUGGUCUUUGGCAGGAGCCAAACAGCUCAGUACUGUUAUGUCGCGAGAGUAG
This 474-nucleotide ribosomal RNA is filed under the name Triticum aestivum (bread wheat). RNAcentral describes it as "partial small subunit ribosomal RNA". The record is from RNAcentral. Lineage: Eukaryota; Viridiplantae; Streptophyta; Magnoliopsida; Poales; Poaceae.